This 123-nucleotide ribosomal RNA is filed under the name Lactarius subdulcis. Its description in RNAcentral is "partial 25S ribosomal RNA". It matches the Rfam family "Eukaryotic large subunit ribosomal RNA", at positions 1 to 121 of the family's 3401-position model. Lineage: Eukaryota; Fungi; Basidiomycota; Agaricomycetes; Russulales; Russulaceae. The record is from RNAcentral.
CUUGACCUCAAAUCGGGUGAGACUACCCGCUGAACUUAAGCAUAUCAAUAAGCGGAGGAAAAGAAACUAACAAGCAUUCCCCUAGUAACUGCGAGUGAAGCGGGAAAAGCUCAAAUUUAAAUC